Molecule: long non-coding RNA, 442 nt
Organism: Mastomys coucha (southern multimammate mouse)
Lineage: Eukaryota; Metazoa; Chordata; Mammalia; Rodentia; Muridae
Exons: 3
Source: RefSeq, a predicted model, not a curated record
GAGCAGAAACCCGGCAGGCAGAUAAACUCCCGAAGGUGGUGAGCUCACUAGCAAGAAAUGUACAGCAAGGUUCUAUUGCUGAAGACAACACCUGUGCAGCUCAUUGAACAUGGAGAAAUUGAGCUAGUGCCUACAGAGAACCUUCAUCCCACAUUUUAGCAUCUUUGGAGUAGAAAGAUACUCUGCAUACUACCAGAAGAGAAAUGUAUCCAAAAACCAAGCCAUCCAAAAACUCUUUGAUCCACAAUGGUGUCCUGCCUGCAACAUAUGCUAGUUUUAAAAGUCAUGCUGAACCAACGAAAUGAAGACUUUGGAACAAAAUGAAGAUGAUUACUGUUCUUAAUAGCAAAAUAUAUUGUGCUUUUAUUUGGCAACAGGAGUGAGGAACAUCAUUUACAGUAAUAUAUUAAUUUAAUAAAAAUGUAAUAAUUUUUUCACUUAU